RNAcentral lists this transfer RNA (85 nucleotides) under Felis catus (domestic cat). It matches the Rfam family "tRNA". From Rfam's summary of the family: Transfer RNA (tRNA) molecules are approximately 80 nucleotides in length. Their secondary structure includes four short double-helical elements and three loops (D, anti-codon, and T loops). The record is from Rfam by way of RNAcentral. Lineage: Eukaryota; Metazoa; Chordata; Mammalia; Carnivora; Felidae.
ACCUGGGUGGCUUACUCAGUUAAGCAUCUGACUUUAGCUCAGGUUAUGAUCUCACGGUUUGUGAGUUCGACCCCCACCUCGGGCU